AACCGCACAGGUGCUCUUUUUUUGAGAGCUUAAACUGGAAUCAGGUGAAAAUCCUGAACAAGGCCGUUGCUGUGAACAGUGAGAUACGGUAUAUGGAAAGAGGAAAUUCCGGCCACUGGUCUAUUAGGACCGGGAAGGUAUGACCGUAUUGAGAGACUUUUUUACGAAGCAGGGUGGUUGGCAGCUUAUUUUCAAGCUGUCAUGCCUGGCGCAGAGCAGAUGCGUCAUGAAAGUGGAACCUAUGAUCUUUCGGAAAUUGUCUCACACUGUGAGUCAGAAUACUUGCCUGUGUGU
Molecule: non-coding RNA, 294 nt
Filed under: uncultured Blautia sp.
Lineage: Bacteria; Bacillati; Bacillota; Clostridia; Lachnospirales; Lachnospiraceae
Source: RNAcentral